AGGGAUCAUUACCGAGUUAUACAACUCAUCAACCCUGUGAACAUACCUAAAACGUUGCUUCGGCGGGAACAGACGGCCCUGUAACAACGGGCCGCCCCCGCCAGAGGACCCCUAACUCUGUUUUUAUAAUGUUUUUCUGAGUAAACAAGCAAAUAAAUUAAAACUUUCAACAACGGAUCUCUUGGCUCUGGCAUCGAUGAAGAACGCAGCGAAAUGCGAUAAGUAAUGUGAAUUGCAGAAUUCAGUGAAUCAUCGAAUCUUUGAACGCACAUUGCGCCCGCCAGUAUUCUGGCGGGCAUGCCUGUUCGAGCGUCAUUACAACCCUCAGGCCCCCGGGCCUGGCGUUGGGGAUCGGCAGAAGCCCCCUGUGGGCACACGCCGUCCCUCAAAUACAGUGGCGGUCCCGCCGCAGCUUCCAUUGCGUAGUAGCUAACACCUCGCAACUGGAGAGCGGCGCGGCCAUGCCGUAAAACACCCAACUUCUGAAUGUUGACCUCGAAUCAGGUAGGAAUACCCGCUGAACUUAA
RNAcentral lists this small RNA (527 nucleotides) under Fusarium oxysporum. RNAcentral describes it as "eukaryotic LSU rRNA". The stretch from base 162 to 315 matches the Rfam family "5.8S ribosomal RNA". Lineage: Eukaryota; Fungi; Ascomycota; Sordariomycetes; Hypocreales; Nectriaceae. The record is from RNAcentral.